UGCAUUGGCCGGGAAUCGAACCGGGGCCGCCCGCGUGGCAGGCGAGCAUUCUACCACUGAACCAGC
Molecule: transfer RNA, 66 nt
Filed under: Cordylochernes scorpioides
Lineage: Eukaryota; Metazoa; Arthropoda; Arachnida; Pseudoscorpiones; Chernetidae
Description: tRNA-Gly
Source: RNAcentral